Molecule: ribosomal RNA, 439 nt
Filed under: uncultured bacterium
Lineage: Bacteria
Description: partial 16S ribosomal RNA
Rfam family: Bacterial small subunit ribosomal RNA
Source: RNAcentral
CUACGGGACGCUGCAGUGGGGAAUCUUAGACAAUGGGCGCAAGCCUGAUCUAGCCAUGCCGCGUGAGUGAUGAAGGCCUUAGGGUCGUAAAGCUCUUUCGCCAGAGAUGAUAAUGACAGUAUCUGGUAAAGAAACCCCGGCUAACUCCGUGCCAGCAGCUGCGGUAAUACGGAGGGGGUUAGCGUUGUUCGGAAUUACUGGGCGUAAAGCGCACGUAGGCGGAUUAGAAAGUUAGGGGUGAAAUCCCGGGGCUCAACCUCGGAACUGCCUCUAAAACUCCUAGUCUAGAGUUCGAGAGAGGUGAGUGGAAUUCCAAGUGUAGAGGUGAAAUUCGUAGAUAUUUGGAGGAACACCAGUGGCGAAGGCGGCUCACUGGCUCGAUACUGACGCUGAGGUGCGAAAGUGUGGGGAGCAAACAGGAUUAGAUACCCCGGUAGUC